Molecule: small nuclear RNA, 169 nt
Organism: Astyanax mexicanus (Mexican tetra)
Lineage: Eukaryota; Metazoa; Chordata; Actinopteri; Characiformes; Acestrorhamphidae
Gene: U1
Rfam family: U1 spliceosomal RNA
About the family: U1 is a small nuclear RNA (snRNA) component of the spliceosome (involved in pre-mRNA splicing). Its 5' end forms complementary base pairs with the 5' splice junction, thus defining the 5' donor site of an intron. There are significant differences in sequence and secondary structure between metazoan and yeast U1 snRNAs, the latter being much longer (568 nucleotides as compared to 164 nucleotides in human).
Source: Ensembl
AUACUUACCUGGCAGGGGAGAUACCAUGAUCAAGAAGGUGGUUCCACUCCAGGGUGAGGCUCGUCCAUUGCACUUCCCGGAUGUGCUGACCCCUGCGAAUUCCCCAAUGUGGGAAUCUCGACUGCAUAAUUUCUGGUAGUGGGGACCUGCCGUUCGCGCUCCGUCCCUG